UAUUAAAAAUUUUGCCCAUUUCUACUUUUAAAAACUAGCGUGGUUAGUAAAAUAAUCCAAAAGUCACAAGUGGCGUUCCAUGUGUACCUUAUUUUAAUAUACAAGAACCAGUUUUUAACAGUAAAAAUGGAUGGAAUUUUAAACA
Non-coding RNA from Gossypium hirsutum (cotton), 145 nucleotides. The record is from Rfam. NCBI's taxonomy places the organism in Eukaryota, Viridiplantae, Streptophyta, Magnoliopsida, Malvales, Malvaceae.